This 511-nucleotide ribosomal RNA is filed under the name Acanthogobius lactipes. RNAcentral describes it as "partial 12S rRNA". It matches the Rfam family "Bacterial small subunit ribosomal RNA", at positions 86 to 991 of the family's 1533-position model. The record is from RNAcentral. Lineage: Eukaryota; Metazoa; Chordata; Actinopteri; Gobiiformes; Gobiidae.
AUAGAGGAGCAGGCAUAAGGCACGACCUACGUCAGCCAGCAAAGCCUUGUUUAGCCACACCCCCAAGGGAACUCAGCAGUAAUAGACAUUAAGCAAUAAGUGUAAACUUGACUUAAUUAAAACCAAUCAGGGCCGGUGAAACUCGUGCCAGCCGCCGCGGUUAUACGAGAGGCCCAAGUUGAUAACCGCCGGCGUAAAAGGUGGAACUACGAAGAAGAAAAAUAAAGCCGAAUGCCCUCAAGACUGUUAUAAGUUUUCGAGGAAUAGAAGCCUACCAACGAAAGUGGCUUUAAAAACUGUAUAAUCCACGAAAGCUAGGGAACAAACUGGGAUUAGAUACCCCACUAUGCCUAGCCAUAAACACAAGUGAAAUCUUCACAACCCCGCUUGCCAGGGGAUUACGAGCGUGAGCUUAAAACCCAAAGGACUUGGCGGUGCUUUAGACCCCCCUAGAGGAGCCUGUUCUAUAACCGAUAAUCCCCGUUAAACCUCACCCUCUCUUGUUCUCCCC